This is a long non-coding RNA of Acanthopagrus latus (yellowfin seabream), 428 nucleotides long. RefSeq lists it as uncharacterized. The record is from RefSeq and is a predicted model, not a curated record. NCBI's taxonomy places the organism in Eukaryota, Metazoa, Chordata, Actinopteri, Spariformes, Sparidae. The transcript is spliced from 3 exons.
CAUUCAUAUCUAUACAUCAUAAAGUCCUUCAGGGUGCUUAAAUGCAGGAGUAAAUAUGAUAUAAGUGACGAAAGGCAGCUGCCAGGUGGAAGUGAACUGCAAAUGGUUAAUGAUAAGAAAAAUCCAAGAGGAGGAGAAGCUGAGAAUUCUGGUCCUAUUUGAUAUCCAGCUGGACCAUAAAGAUCGACCUCCUGACUCACAUCAGGGGUAAUCCAGAGAAACGCUGCUGUCACCGUGAUUCAGAUGGUCAGCGGAGUGUCGUCUCUGAACACACCCUCUGCAGUAUGAUGCAAACGCGACCACAAAAGAAAACACCCAUGUUUACAAGCACAGAAGCCUUUUAUGAAGGGACCGAGCACAAACACUUUUGGCACACUAUGAUGCACAGCUCACACGUGAAGUACAGAGGAACGCAUUAUGGUUCACAA